CUGAACUUAAGCAUAUCAAUAAGCGGAGGAAAAGAAACUAACAAGGAUUCCCCUAGUAACGGCGAGUGAAGCGGGAAGAGCUCAAAUUUAAAAUCUGGCAGUGUAUUCUGUC
RNAcentral lists this ribosomal RNA (112 nucleotides) under Rhizoctonia solani. RNAcentral describes it as "partial 28S ribosomal RNA". It matches the Rfam family "Eukaryotic large subunit ribosomal RNA", at positions 28 to 138 of the family's 3401-position model. The record is from RNAcentral. Lineage: Eukaryota; Fungi; Basidiomycota; Agaricomycetes; Cantharellales; Ceratobasidiaceae.